Dermacentor andersoni is the source of this 4085-nucleotide non-coding RNA. Lineage: Eukaryota; Metazoa; Arthropoda; Arachnida; Ixodida; Ixodidae. The record is from RefSeq and is a predicted model, not a curated record.
UAGACGUCAAAGCGGACGUGCGGAUUCCCACUUCCGGGCGCUUGUUGUCUUUUGAGUUAUUACAGAGCUACCGUACUAAGCUUAUUUCAACGCCUAAUUUUAUGUAUUGUUACUCAUGGUUUAGUUUUCUAUAAACUUAUUGGAAGAAAAGCAAUAGUUUAGAGGAUACUGCUACUUCGUUUGCAAGCAACAUUUUACAAAAACCGUUACAAGCUCUCAGUUGCAGCCUAAUCUUUGGGGACACCAGGUGGUCUGAGACAUGUCCACUAUGGAGCCACCGCCAGUCGCCCUCAAGUGGGAUCCCAAGAACCUCGAGAUCAAAACACUGUCUGUGGAGAAAACUCUGGAGCCCCUGGUCAUACAGGUGACGACACUGGUAAACACAAAAGGACCAUCAAAAAAGAAGAAAGGUCGCUCAAAGCGGGCCCAUGUCCUGGUUGCUGCUGUAGAGCGGGCCACAGAAAACUUCAUCAAGAAGGGAGAAGAGAUUGCAACAGAGAACCCUGACAUUCAUCAGGAAAUGAUGGCAGCUGUAGAUGAAGUGCGGAAGACAGGAGAGGCCAUGAGUAAGGCUUCGCGUGAAUUUGCGGAGGACCCUUGCUCAUCGGUCAAGAGGGGUAACAUGGUGCGCUCAGCACGGAACCUCCUGUCUGCUGUCACUCGACUACUGAUCCUCGCUGACAUGGUGGAUGUGCACCGGCUGCUGAAAUCAUUGCGUGUGGUCGAGGAUGACUUGGACAAGGUCAAGAAUGCAUCCAGCCAGUCUGAGCUGAUGGAGUUCUUUCGAAACUUUGGUGUCAACACUGUUGAGCUGAUACAGCAGGCUGCACGCAGGCAGGCGGAGCUGAAGGACUCAAGGUUGCGAGAUGACCUUGCUGCUGCCAGGGCAGUGCUGAAGAAAAAUAGCAUGAUGCUUCUCACAGCCUCUAAGGUCUACAUUCGUCAUCCUGAGCUUUCGGCUGCCAAGGAGAACAGAGAUUUUGUGUUUCGGCAAGUGUGUGAAGCAGUCAACACAAUUGGCGACGUUGCACAAGGUCGUGCUGGUGCCCUAGUGCCAUCCUAUGAGGGCCCUGGCGAGUUAGCAGCUGCACUGGAUGAUUUUGAUGAGCGUGUUGUGCUGGAUCCACUCACCUACAACGAACUGCGCACCAGGCCAGCUUUGGAAGAGAGGCUGGAGAGUAUUAUCAGCGGAGCCGCCCUCAUGGCCGAUUCAUCAUGCACCCGCGAUGAGCGGCGGGAGCGCAUUGUGGCAGAGUGCAAUGCAGUUCGGCAGGCCCUGCAAGACCUACUGGCUGAAUACAUGGCAAGUGCGGGCCGCAAGGAGGACUCCCUGGACAAGGCUGUGGAGCAGAUGGGGCGCAAGACGCGGGACUUGCGGCGGCAGCUGCGCAAGGCAGUCGUGGACCACGUAUCGGAUUCGUUUCUCGAGACACAGGUGCCUCUUCUAGUGCUGGUAGAGGCAGCACGUGCCGGGAACGAGCGGCAGGUCGAGGAAUAUGCGCGUGUGUUUGCCGAGCACGCCCACAAGCUGGUUGAAGUGGCCAGCCUGGCCUGCUCUAUGUCAAGCCAUGAGGAUGGUGUAAAGAUGGUGCGGUGUGCGGCGGCCCACAUUGAGGGCCUCUGUCCACAAGUAGUGAAUGCAGCUCGUAUCCUUGCAGCACGGCCACGCUCUAAAGUGGCACAGGAAAACAUGGACGCUUUUCGAGAUGCCUGGGAGACACAGGUGCGUCUGCUUACAGAAGCUGUUGAUGACAUUACCACCAUCGAUGACUUCUUGGCUGUGUCAGAAAACCACAUUCUUGAAGAUGUCAACAAGUGCGUGCUGGCUCUGCAAGAGAAUGAUGCAGAUGCAUUGGACCGUACUGCUGGUGCCAUUCGAGGGCGUUCAGCCCGUGUGUGCAAUGUGGUAACUUCCGAGAUGGACAACUAUGAGCCAGGUAUCUACACAGAAAGAGUACUUGAGGCUGUGGCAGUGCUGAGAGACCAAGUUAUGCCAAACUUUGCCCAGAAGGUUGAGAUGGCAGUAGAAGCACUGAGCGCCAGUCCCCAGAAAGAAAUAGAUGAAAAUGAAUUUAUAGAUGCUUCCCGUCUAGUUUAUGAUGGCGUGCGGGAGAUUCGCCGUGCAGUGCUGAUGAAUAGGAGUGCAGAGGAGCUGGACUCUGAAACAGAGAUCGAGUACGAGGAUAACACCUAUGAAACACGCAGCAAAUCUAGUGCCCACACUGCCGACUAUGAUGAGUAUCCGGACAUCAGUGGCAUCAACAACACACGGGAUGCUUACCGCCUCGUGUCAGAAGAAGAGAAGCAGAAGAUUGCUGCUCAGGUGGAGACAUUCCGCACAGAGAAGAACAAGUUUGACCGCGAAGUGGCCAAAUGGGAUGACACCGGCAAUGAUAUCAUUGUGCUGGCGAAGCAGAUGUGCAUGAUUAUGAUGGAAAUGACAGAUUUCACAAGGGGCAAAGGGCCCUUGAAAACAACUAUGGACGUCAUCAACGCUGCAAAAAAGAUAUCAGAGUAUGGCACUAAACUGGACAAAUUGGCACGAACCAUUGCUGACCAGUGCCCAGAGUCGAGCACCAAGAAGGAUCUUAUUGCUUAUCUUCAGCGCAUAGCACUUUAUUGUCACCAGCUCAACAUCACCAGUAAAGUGAAAGCUGAUGUGCAGAACAUUUCUGGAAACCUCAUCGUCUCUGGGCUUGACAGUGCCACAUCUCUGAUUCAAGCUGCCAAAAACCUGAUGAAUGCAGUUGUGCUAACAGUGAAGGCGUCAUAUGUAGCAUCAACUAAGGCAAGUAACCACACUUUGUGACACAGUGCCUUGUACUAACAGUUCUUUUUCUUACCACAGUAUCCAAGAAGUGGCGUUGUGAGUUCACCGAUUGUUGUGUGGAAGAUGAAGGCACCUGAAAAGAAGCCUCUGGUUCGCCGGGAGAAGCCUGAAGAAGUCAGAGCUAAAGUACGCAAGGGCUCACAGAAAAAGAACAUCGCGCCCAUCAAAGCGCUCAGUGAGUUUCAGAGUCUGGCCGAAUCAGUCUGAGUGGCAUGCCCUCCUGCACGGCCUUUCCUCGUAGCCCCAUCCGGUGCUAGGUUGUGAACAGUCACACACGAGUGGUCACCUCCCCAAUAAACAGGAUCACCUUCCUCCACCAUGUGUAUGCACUGGCAUGCAUCCCAUUAUCCCUCUUUCUGCUCGAUUGUGUGCUGUUUGUGUGUGCUUUCUUGUCAAGUGCCCUUUCAUAACCAAGCUAGGGUUUCUAUUUGCAGCAUGAGUCACUACUGCUGUGGCUGUCACUGCUUUCUUGCCCGUUCGAGCGAAGGACGUGCUCUACUUUCUCCUAGCACUUCGUUAGUGGUUUAGAAACAGCUUCAUCUCUGUGUGGAACAUGGUGGGCCCACUUCUGCAUCCAGUCUUGUAGCAAUUGCACCGAAUACUUUCCUGUACACGUGAGAACUCCUGCUAGUUUCACUCAUAACACACUGUAACCCACUAAUGUCUUUAGCCAAUCUGCUACAAAUUAAUAGCAUGAAUAUGCCGUGCGAUGUUUCUUGCUUUCCUCUCUCUCUGUGGUGCUCUAGGGACAUGGCAGGGACUGCUUGUGUUCUUGAGGGAAGUUUUACUCGUGUACCUAACCACUAUUUACUUACAAAUACCAAAACUUACACUUCAGUGAAAUUCAUGUUUUGUUUGUACAUUAUAUAUUUAAGAGACACAUUUAUGUAUGGACAGUAACAAAUGUUACAUUUGUGAUUAUGCUUUGUGAGAACUGCCAUGUGUUUUUCCACUUUUGUAUAAGCUCUUCCCAUGCACCCACUGUGCCUCUAAUGGGAAACUGGUGUUGUCCUUGAAUAGGCAGACUAAAUGCAGUUUUCUGGCACAAUUGAGACAUGUCUCUGCCUGUACGAAAAAGAGGGGGGGAGGGCACAACAUGAAAACUGCUUUGGUGUGCGUUGUCAAGGUUGCCACAAGUUUUAUUUACAAAGACGUGUACACUGAGAAUGAUAGCCUUUGUAGACUAUUUAAUAAAAGCAACAAACUUUGUGAAAUCAAUUCCCUUUAUGUUUAAAUAAAGAAAUGUGCACCUUUA